RNAcentral lists this ribosomal RNA (262 nucleotides) under uncultured bacterium. Its description in RNAcentral is "partial 16S ribosomal RNA". It matches the Rfam family "Bacterial small subunit ribosomal RNA", at positions 355 to 615 of the family's 1533-position model. The record is from RNAcentral.
UAAGGAAUAUUGGUCAAUAGACGCAAGUCUGAACCAGCCAUGCCGCGUGAAGGAUGAAGGUCCUCUGGAUUGUAAACUUCUUUUAUCUGGGACGAAAACGGGAUUUUUAUCUCAAUUGACGGUACCAGAGGAAUAAGCACCGGCUAACUCCGUGCCAGCAGCCGCGGUAAUACGGAGGGUGCGCGCGUUAUCCGGAUUUACUGGGUUUAAAGGGUGCGUAGGUGGGCUUAUAAGUCAGUGGUGAAAUCUCCGAGCUUAACUU